Long non-coding RNA from Mustela lutreola (European mink), 534 nucleotides. RefSeq lists it as uncharacterized. Lineage: Eukaryota; Metazoa; Chordata; Mammalia; Carnivora; Mustelidae. The record is from RefSeq and is a predicted model, not a curated record. The transcript is spliced from 3 exons.
CAGGAGCUGGUAACAGACGUGAUGGGAGCAGUCUGGGGAGAAGUGUCGGAUACAUCUGUGAGACUUCUGUGAGUUGUGGACUGCAGAAGCAUGGCUGGGGAGAUUACCGCAAGAAUACCUAUGGGGCAGACUAUAAGCCUUUUGAGGACAUCUGAUACACAUUUAAGAAAUUUCCUCAGCGCCUGUCAGAGAUGCUCAAUAAAUGUUUAUCGAGCUCCCACCAACUAAUAUUCUUAUCUUGCAAAUUAUGUAUGAGGCUUUCGGGAUUAUUAAACUCUAGAGUAGGGCUUUUUUUGUUUCUUCUUAGUAUCUGCAUGUACGAAUUUAAAUUUCUAAUUUAAUUUAGACCUAAUAUGUAAGAGUGAUUGGUUGCGAUUAACAACACAAUGCUAAUGGGAAUAAUAUUAAAUGUUUGGCAGGUCAGAGUCCCCUGUACAGCUUCUUAUUUACCAGCUGGGGCCUGUGGUUUGUAAAGAUUUUUCUGCAAAACUUAAGACUGGAGAUUAAUUCUCUGUUCCUUUUCUAUAGCAGCCA